This 468-nucleotide ribosomal RNA is filed under the name uncultured bacterium. RNAcentral describes it as "SSU rRNA". It matches the Rfam family "Bacterial small subunit ribosomal RNA", at positions 26 to 518 of the family's 1533-position model. The record is from RNAcentral.
AGGAUAAACGCUGGCGGCGUGCCUAACACAUGCAAGUCGAACGUCUCUUUCUUCGGGAAGAGGAGUGGCGGACGGGUGAGGAACACGUGGGAACCUGCCCUUCAGUGAGGAAUACCGGCGAGAAAUCGCCGACAAGACCGCAUAGCCCUCUCUGGUGAGAGCCAGAGAAGGAAAGCUUCGCAAGAGGCGCUGGAGGAGGGGCCUGCGUCCGAUUAGCUAGUUGGUGGGGUAAGAGCCUAUCAAGGCGUCGAUCGGUAGCUGGUCUGAGAGGUCGAUCAGCCACACUGGGAUUGAGAACGGCCCAGACUCCUACGGGGGCAGCAGUGAGGAAUUUUCGGCAAUGGGGGAAACCCUGACCGAGCAACGCCGCGUGCAGGAAGACGGCCUCGGGUUGUAACUGCUUUCUUUGGGACGAGCAAGGACGGUACCAGAGGAAUCAGCCCCGGCUCACUACGUGCCAGCAGCCGC